RNAcentral lists this long non-coding RNA (2456 nucleotides) under Podarcis lilfordi (Lilford's wall lizard). Lineage: Eukaryota; Metazoa; Chordata; Lepidosauria; Squamata; Lacertidae. The record is from RNAcentral.
AAUGGAUGGCUCAGUGAAGGUAGCUAUGAAAUGCUUUUUAAAGGUAAUAUGUAGAGAAAGAUGCUGAGUGGAUUCAAAGCAGAGAAACCCAGAAGAUAAACUGAACUCUCUGUUGUGCACGUUUAGGGGCUGUGUGUCUACUAUAUAUUCUGAACAGUGGUUUGAUUGUCUGUCUGUCUGUUCUCUAUGGCAGAGGUUUUCAACCUUUUUGAGUCCACGGCGCCCUUGACCAACUGCAUUCUUUCUGUGGCACCCCUGUGGGGCUCAGGAGCCGAGUUAUGUCACCCCUUGCCUGCAGAGCUGGCAGCCUCUCACCCCUUUUCGAACACUCUCCCUUGCGGAGUGUUCCCUCAACCUCCUCUCCUCUCUUCUCUCCUGAGGACUCUUCUGGACAGCCGCAGCUGAUGCCCCGGUCUCUGAGAUACACAUCGUGCCCCAAAGAGAGGUGCCUUCUCACACUACCCCACCGGGGCCUGGGAAGCACCCCCCCCCCCAGCCAGCCACAGAGGCACCAUUCACCCGAGGAGCUUGUAGCCAGGGCUGAUGCAACCAACAGUUGUGCAAGUCACUGGGAGUCAGAGACACAAGAAGGCAUCAGAGAAGGGAGGGGACACUGGUUAAAAACUACUGCUCUAUGGAUUUGGCCACAUCCUGAGAUAUCAUCACCAAACUUGGCACAAGGGUUCCUGAAUUGUGGGUGGCAAUUUUUGUCAAUGUUGGACUGCUGCCUGUAAUUUGAAUCAAGAUGACAGUCCAAAACAUGGUUUAGGCAUGACUUUGCCCAUAUUUUGGCAUAGGUUUGGCCGCCUCUCAAAAUAUCAUUGCCAAAUGCAGCAUUAGUGCUUCCAAAAUAAGGCUGGUGGUCUUCAUGGAAGCUGGGUACCAUUUUGAUGCAAGGUGGUGGACUGAAACACAACUUUGGACCAACUUUACCUGGUUUUUGGUGUGUCACCCCUAAGAACUCACAAUUUAAAAAUUGUGAACUCUAUCAAUUUAAAAACCACGUUUUUGUGUUUUCUACACAUUCUCAGGUUCUGACCAUGUUUUUUGGUUCCUGUUUUUUGGCUCCUGGCAGGGAGAUGUCUUAUUUGAUGUAACGGUAUUUGUAGUACAAAUUGCAAAGGCUGCCAUUCUUCCAGAUAGAGCUUUCUCCUCUGUAUAAAAACCAUAUUCUGGGAAGUGUUUUACUGUAAGAAUGUUUUAAUACUUUAAAUGCUGAUCUGAAUGUAAAGAGUUAACUGUAAGAAGAAUAAACAUGUAUUUUACAUUGACUAGAGCCGAAAUAUACAAGGUCAGCCAGCAGUGGGCCAAGUGACAGUUAAACUGUCAAAGUUGAUCCCUGUUGCUAAGAAGAUGGCAGAGUACAUGCUGUGUUUUGAUUUUUAUAUAUAUACAGAGCAGUAGCAUCCAAAUGUGGACAGCUGAUGGCUGGUCAUUUGGUGGACAUUCCAUCCAAAUCUAUUGGUCCGUAAUUAUAGGCCAAUGAAAGUUUUGAAUUCCAACAGGAACAAAUGGAUUGGCUUGAUAGUCUUGACUGAAAGGAAUUUAAGGUCAGGUCCGGCACUGUUUGAAGUAAGUCAGUUGGGCAGUCUUUGGUGUACUGUAAACAGCUUCAGCCCAGGACUCAAGAACAAACUCUGAAAGCCAAAAAAAGAGAGAGAUUGAAGUAGUAGCAGCUGGGGAAGCCCACCUGGAAUCUGAAAUUACUUGAGGUGAGAGCUAAGAAGGCUUCCAAGAGCAUAGUGAGUGAUUUGAGCAUCAGGCUUUGGGAGAGCUGAGGACAGGGUAAGGAUGGGCAAAUCUGUCCAUUUUGGUUUCUUUCAGUAUUUAUAAUAUUUAUAAUCUUAAAUUCAGUUCUGUAUCCUUCCACAUCAGUUUGCAGUUUUAAAAUGAAAAUCAUCAGCAGUUUAGUGUGCAUUUCUCCUAAUACAAUACUGUACGCACAUUUUUGUAUGCAACUUUUGCCUAAUAGGCUUUUUUUAAACCAGCAAUAUUACCAAAAAUAUGGUUUUUGUGUGCUAUUUUCACUAAUACAUGCAUUUUUAUGCUUAGCCUAGUAUAAGCACUUUUGAAUAAAUUCCUUAGCUUGCUUGACUGCAAAACUGCGCUGCAAAAUUGAGAAAAGUGGGAAUUUCAAAUGAUGCCUGUGUUCUGGUUCACCUAUUGAAUCAAGCUGGUUUGUCUUUAAAUAUGAAUGGAAUCCAAUUUCUCUUCUAUCUCUAGGUCAUAGUGACUGCAGAGGGAAGCUGUCCUGAGUGAAGACUUCUGAUGAGGCUCUUUGUAAAGCUAGAAAGGAACCUAACACUCACCCAGAGGGAACAUUUCAGGUAAAACUCUCUUACCAAGCCUGCUAAUUAAUAGAGGGUGAAGUUAGGAAGGGCACUUGUCUCAAGUUAUUGUAGAGGGAAAGGAGCUAGAGCAAAUACCUAGCUAUCUCCGUAAAGCAAGAAUAACAC